Molecule: long non-coding RNA, 313 nt
Organism: Strongylocentrotus purpuratus (purple sea urchin)
Lineage: Eukaryota; Metazoa; Echinodermata; Echinoidea; Camarodonta; Strongylocentrotidae
Exons: 4
Source: RefSeq, a predicted model, not a curated record
GGCAACAAACAACAAGACAGAAUCUAGAAGAGAACCUCGCGGUCAAGGUGAUCAAGAGUUAUCAUUGAAAACAGGCCAAACAGGCAAUGCGGACAGAAGCACCAAUGUGCAUGAGUCAGGGCAAGGCAAUCCCCAUCAAGUGGAUUCGGUCAAAGAAAAAUGCAUGGACUCUGGAAGAGAACCUGACGGUCAAGCUGAGAGUGCUCAACAUUCCGAACCUUCUGAGCCCAGAACCUUCGAGGAAGUCCUCGCAUCCAUCGCAAAGAAAAAUAAAGGUAAAACUAGACUUUAAUUCGUCACUUUGACGAAUUAG